This 317-nucleotide long non-coding RNA is filed under the name Brassica napus (rape). RNAcentral's name for it is "long non-coding RNA (BNAP_LNC002823)". The record is from RNAcentral. Lineage: Eukaryota; Viridiplantae; Streptophyta; Magnoliopsida; Brassicales; Brassicaceae.
AGAAACUUCCACUAUAACCAUGACAUAACUCUCAUUACUGUAACAUCAACUGCAAUGUUAUUAAUCGGUCAAUUGGUUGUGGACGGUUCACCUGCACCUACUUCACCAGACAAGACAUCACCAGAAGUCACUCCACUAGUCUUCGGAGAUUCUGUUCACACGGAGCAAUACCAUGACGCCCUAUUCACAUAUCAUCCAUCCCCACAUCAAUCGUCCACACACAACCCACCCACGUGUCGGCUAUCCACACACCGCUCAUCCACACAAACCCCAUACACACACCACCCGUGUUCCCCUUCCGAGUCCACACCACACUC